Syzygium oleosum is the source of this 1261-nucleotide long non-coding RNA. RefSeq lists it as uncharacterized. Lineage: Eukaryota; Viridiplantae; Streptophyta; Magnoliopsida; Myrtales; Myrtaceae. The record is from RefSeq and is a predicted model, not a curated record. The transcript has 2 exons.
UUUAUUGAGCCCGGUCUGGCAAAUUAUUUUUUAAAAAAAAUGGGGAAAGGGCCCAGCCCGAAAUAUUUUUAAAAAAACAAAAGCCCAGUGCCCAACAAGAAAAUAAAACCCCAAAGCCCUAAAUAUACCGGCCCAAUACAUAUUCCGACCCACUUAAACGAAAUCCUAGAGCCAAACCCUACCCGGUUACGACCCGCUCGACCGACCCGACUACCAAUCGCCGACCCGACUCGCGCCUCCUCCUCACGCUCGCGGCUAGCCCUAAUGCCGGCGACCGGUGCCUAACCCGUCUGCGUAGCCACCCCGACGAGGGGUGGCGGGCGUCCUCCGUCCGGAUCACCGCCAUGGCGACCGACGGCCGACUGGGACCGUCUAAGCCUUGACGAGAGGCGGGCCGGCCGAGAACCAGCCAGAUCCCGGCGAGGGACCGGCUGGCUGCCUCCUCUCUCGGUCACGCCCGGACCGUCGCCCUAUCUGUGGGCCUCCUCUGCCCGCGUCACCGCCGUGGCAACCGGCGGCCGGCCGGGACCAUCCGGCGUUCCAGCACAAGAAACGCAACAGAACAGAGACAAAUUCAAGAAGCUUGGUUCAGGCAUAACAUCGAACAGUUGGGGCUCGCUACAAAAACGAGUGAUUCUAGGCUCGAUCGAGGCUCAAAACGAACCAAAAUUAUCGACACAAGAUGCACGGAGAAGCAAGAGCAAGCACGAGGCGUCACGGGCCGGAACUCGCGCGAUCUGGACGGCCGCGAGCUCCGGCCAGUGAGCCCGAGACACGGGAACGCAACAGAAACAGGGGAAGGAGGGGCGGCCGUUUGCGGCACUCCCUUUUCGGCUCGGCGGCGGCAAACGGGGGCAAAAGUGAUAGAUCGAACUACGUCCGGUCGCCUCGCACGCCUCCGAGCCGAAAUCCUAGGGAAAUCGACCCGAAUCACACCAAACAAAACCCGACAACGGCUCGGGACCGGGACCUACCCCGAGAAAUGGGCCUGCUGCGGCCGGCCGAUCUCCCGACUCGCGGAUCAUGCUACCUCCUUGCACCAUCUGCUCCUCUGACCUGCAUUUCCCCUGCCGACUGCUCUGUUCUUCUCCCCCGUACUAGCCACAUUGAGGGGGAAGAAGGUGAACAGUCGCGGGCCGGGCCAAGGGGAAAAGUGGCCGGCCCGCGUGGGAAAAUACGAAAAAAAAAAAUGGACCGGCUGAUCCGGUCCGUUCGAACCGGGUUGAACCGGCCCGAAAAGCCCUUCUUCUUCUUCUCUUUU